RNAcentral lists this ribosomal RNA (483 nucleotides) under uncultured bacterium. Its description in RNAcentral is "partial 16S ribosomal RNA". It matches the Rfam family "Bacterial small subunit ribosomal RNA", at positions 30 to 507 of the family's 1533-position model. The record is from RNAcentral.
UUGAACGCUGGCGGCAGGCCUAACACAUGCAAGUCGAGCGGAUGAAGGGAGCUUGCUCCUGGAUUCAGCGGCGGACGGGUGAGUAAUGCCUAGGAAUCUGCCUGGUAGUGGGGGAUAACGUCCGGAAACGGGCGCUAAUACCGCAUACGUCCUGAGGGAGAAAGUGGGGGAUCUUCGGACCUCACGCUAUCAGAUGAGCCUAGGUCGGAUUAGCUAGUUGGUGGGGUAAAGGCCUACCAAGGCGACGAUCCGUAACUGGUCUGAGAGGAUGAUCAGUCACACUGGAACUGAGACACGGUCCAGACUCCUACGGGAGGCAGCAGUGGGGAAUAUUGGACAAUGGACGAAAGCCUGAUCCAGCCAUGCCGCGUGUGUGAAGAAGGUCUUCGGAUUGUAAAGCACUUUAAGUUGGGAGGAAGGGCAGUAAGUUAAUACCUUGCUGUUUUGACGUUACCAACAGAAUAAGCACCGGCUAACUUCGUG